RNAcentral lists this transfer RNA (71 nucleotides) under Candidatus Pacearchaeota archaeon. RNAcentral's name for it is "tRNA-Ala". It matches the Rfam family "tRNA". From Rfam's summary of the family: Transfer RNA (tRNA) molecules are approximately 80 nucleotides in length. Lineage: Archaea; Nanobdellati. The record is from RNAcentral.
GGGCCCGUAUUAUAGUGGCAGAAUUUUUCCUUCGCAAGGAAGAGGCCCGAGUUCGAUUCUCGGCGGGUCCA